This is a non-coding RNA of Podarcis lilfordi (Lilford's wall lizard), 75 nucleotides long. Lineage: Eukaryota; Metazoa; Chordata; Lepidosauria; Squamata; Lacertidae. The record is from the annotation of a GenBank genome assembly.
GGAUUCUCUGUAGCUCAGCGGUAGAGAGUCUGCCUUACAAGCUGAAGGCCUCAGGUUCAAUCCCCGGCGUCUCCA